UUGAAUUUUGCGGGGUGUGGACCCCUUCGUCUUUUAAUGUAAAAUUAUCAUGAUCUUACACCUGUUCGAUAAAAUUUUCAGCGGCCGAUGUUGGGUCCAACUCAUUUGGAUGUUUGCCACGUGUAGAGCCAUUGAUUGAUUAAAGAAGUUGACACACGAGAUUGUGAAAUCACCGUCUCAUCUCAUAGUCUCCACAAACAAUGAUUACAAUAAUGAAUAUUUUUGGUACUUAAAACAAC
This 239-nucleotide long non-coding RNA is filed under the name Citrus maxima (pomelo). RNAcentral describes it as "long non-coding RNA (CMAX_LNC001064)". The record is from RNAcentral. Lineage: Eukaryota; Viridiplantae; Streptophyta; Magnoliopsida; Sapindales; Rutaceae.